Molecule: ribosomal RNA, 1128 nt
Filed under: uncultured bacterium
Lineage: Bacteria
Description: bacterial SSU rRNA
Rfam family: Bacterial small subunit ribosomal RNA
Source: RNAcentral
CGUAGGUGACCUGCCCAGAAGUGGGGGACAACACCUCGAAAGAGGUGCUAAUACCGCAUGUGAUCACCGGUCCAUUCGGGUGAUCAAAGGCGCAAGUCGCUUCUGGAGGGGCCUGCGGCGGAUCAGCUAGUUGGUGGGGUAACGGCUCACCAAGGCAACGAUCCGUAGCUGGUCUGAGAGGAUGGCCAGCCAGACUGGGACUGAGACACGGCCCAGACUCCUACGGGAGGCAGCAGUUAGGGAUCUUGUGCAAUGGGGGAAACCCUGACACAGCAACGCCGCGUGAGGGAUGAAGGCCUUCGGGUCGUAAACCUCUUUUCUGAGGGAAGAAACCUGACGGUACCUCAGGAAUAAGCAACGGCUAACUACGUGCCAGCAGCCGCGGUAAUACGUAGGUUGCGAGCGUUGUCCGGAAUCACUGGGCGUAAAGCGCACGCAGGCGGCUCCGCAAGCCCAUGGUGAAAGCCCUCGGCCCAACCGAGGGAUGCCCAUGGGAACUGCGGGGCUCAGAAGACGGGAGAGGCGGAUGGAAUUUCCGGUGUAGCGGUAAAAUGCGUAGAUACCGGAAGGAACACCAGUGGCGAAAGCGAUCCGCUGGCCCGCUCUUGACGCUCAGGUGCGAAAGCUAGGGUAGCGACCGGGAUUAGAUACCCCGUUAGUCCUAGCCGUAAACGAUGGGCACUAGGUGUUGUCGGUAUCGACCCCGGCAGUGCCGAAGCUAACGCAUUAAGUGCCCCGCCUGGGGAGUACGGCCGCAAGGCUAAAACUCAAAGGAAUUGACGGGGGCCCGCACAAGCAGCGGAGCGUGCGGUUCAAUUCGAUGGUACGCGAAGAACCUUACCCAGGCUUGACAUGCAGGUGGUACCGACCCGAAAGGGAAGGGACCCGCAAGGGAGCCUGCAAUGGUGUUGCACGGCUGUCGUCAGCUCGUGUCGUGAGAUGUUGGGUUAAGUCCCGCAACGAGCGCAACCCUCGCCGCCUGUUGUAUCCCUCAGGCGGGACUGCCGAGAGAAACUCGGAGGAAGGUGGGGAUGACGUCAAGUCCGCGUGGCCCUUAUGCCUGGGGCUACACGCACGCUACAAUCGCCGGUCACAGCGGGUCGCAACUGCGCGAGCAGGAGCUAAUCC